GCCGGGGUAGCUCAGUUGGUUAGAGCGUGGGACUCAUAAGCCCAAGGUCGCCGGUUCGAUCCCGGCCCCCGGUACCA
This 77-nucleotide transfer RNA is filed under the name Patescibacteria group bacterium. Its description in RNAcentral is "tRNA-Met". It matches the Rfam family "tRNA". Rfam says of the family: Transfer RNA (tRNA) molecules are approximately 80 nucleotides in length. Their secondary structure includes four short double-helical elements and three loops (D, anti-codon, and T loops). The record is from RNAcentral.